GUUUAAAAAGCCUAAACAUUGCAUUCUACCGUGUACGCACCAAACUUUGCGCAGUUAAGAAAUUAUCAUCGUAUUUUUGCUUCAAAUAAGGCUAAAAUAUGUAUUUUUUUAUUCAAUUUUCUGUCAAAGAUAGGCUUUUAGCCUUUCAGUAGAACACGUGAUUUAAAAAAAAUAAAAAAGAUUCAUAAAAAAUUAAAAAAAUGCAAGAGGUGAUGCAAUACCUUGUGCCUAACAUUGCGCACAAAAUCUGAAUUGUUCCUAACUUUGCGCAUAAUGUUCCUAACUUUGCGCAUGCCUUAAUUGCUCGUUCGCUCUAAAUAAUUUUACUUUUUUACUGGUUUUGCAUUAAAUAAAAAGGUUACAACUAAUAUGAGUUUCAUCAGUAGUUUUUCCGUGAAUUUAAAUUCAAUUUAAUUUAUUCAACAACCACAAACAUAGAGUGACCACGAAUAGUGAUUUACACUGUUCUUAUUUUUUAUUAUAUAUUCACAAGAUUACAAUCUGAGCAAUAUAGUUUACAGCCGUAGCAUAUACUUAUUUGUUUUCGUACGUUGCUUUAUAUAAUUUAUUCUCUUGUUUUUUUUUUUUAAUUUUUUAACCUUUUUUUAUUUUUUUGUUGUUUUUGUUUUUCGUUUUUCCUAUUUUGUUUCAUCUCCUUCAAUAACUACCGAAAUUCGAUGCUCGUAUUCACUGCUGAUGGCCGUGAACGAUUCAAUUUCGCACAAUUUAGAAGCUUUCUAAAGAAAAUCUUCUCUGUUGUACAUGUCGUCAGCUGGAAGUGAAGGAUUUCCAGAUGAACUUGACGAGUCAUUAGCAGUGAUGUGCUUCAAUUAAAGUUCAGACAUGCUAUGCUCGAGAGAUUUCUCGUUUGUCUAUUAAUAUUGCAAGCUGCAGGUUGCUUAGGGACUGUCCCUUAAUGGACGGACCUUUACUUUCAACUGAAGCUUCAUCGAAUCCAUGGAAAGCAUCGAUAAGUUCGGGAUUCGAUGUAUCGUUGAUCUCUCGUGAUUAAUUAUUUUUUAUUUAUUUGACGUCAGUACGGAUAUUCCAUAAUUGAACGUUUUUUGCUAGACAACUGAAUUUUGAAUUAUUGUCCAUGAAGUGGUAAGCCAACCUUUGCGCUAUCAAUUUUCCAAGUUCACAGUAAAAGUCUCCUCCUGCGUCAAGUGGGUUUUCCGAGAUUUUUCGAUGCAAACCUUGCCUUCAGCUUCAUACAAAAGGUCCUUUCAGAAAUAUUAUAUGUAGCCACUGCCUUAUGGAUUGAGUGACCAUUCCUGGUAAGAUCGACAGCUAUUAUCAUUUGUAAUGACGUACAUGUAUGUACGUGCCAUUUUGAAUUGCUAGAAGUGCGCAAAAAUUAAGACCCUCAUGUAAAAAAUGGGUCCUAACAUUGCGCAUCGCUUUUUUUUCAAAUAAAAAUUCGACAUAUUGUAUGGAAAAUUGAGGGAAUUACUAGAAUAUUACCUCUUUUUGCAAAUACACCGCAAAUAUACAUCUCACAACACAGUUUUGUUCGAAAAAAUGUUGAUUUUUGGCAAAGCCACUCCUUAGUGCUUGUGCUAAGACGGUGUAAAAGUUGACGUUUAUACGUGUGACGAUAGGGUUUUUGGGUUAUUUACUAACAUUUACGAGGUUUUCUUAGUAAACAAAUGUAUGUCAAAUACUUAUUUCACAUAAACGAACAUGUUACUGAAACUGAAUUGUUGAAAAAAUCAUUGAUUAAUUAUCAUUUUUUCAUGCUUCUUAAAAAUGCGCAAAGUUUGGAGCUGCGCAAAGUUAGGUGCGUACACGGUAACCGAUUAAUCAUGCAAGUUGUUAUGUAAAUAUUUCAUUUAACCGCCAAACACCUAAAAAACACACGGUUGAGUAAAAAUAACUCAACGUGCGGCAUUUAGAGUGCAUACUGCACGUUGAGUAGUUUAAACUUAAUUUUGGAUGAAAAAAUGCGGCAUCCAUUUUGAAAUGUCAACGCUGUUCAUUUCAGAUCAGUCAUCAGCGGUGUAAGACGUAAGCGUCAUGAUCUGCUUUGUUUAUUCAAAGUUGGACAAAAAAUCCAUAAUUUAGUGAAAUUUUGUUUAGUAAACUUUGAUUAGUACGUUAAUACUGUUCCUGACGUCGGUUUAUACAAAACUCCUAACAGCAGUGAAUUUUUCGGAUUUUGUGAAGGAAUUCAGUUAUUAAUAGAUUGUUGUUGAUGCACGAUUUUUGGAAUCAAGGACAGUCGGUUCCCGAUAAAUUUACUACACUGCAGGUAACUGUCGAGUUUCUUUUCGCCGUUCCUGCCACCCACCGUACACGAUUUUCGGCACCAGGAGCGGGUUGUAUGUUGUAAUGUAUCCUUACAAUAUAGCACUGAUACCGUGUUUAAUUAAAAUAAAAAGUUUUAUCUGCUUUAUCGUUCAAA
Molecule: long non-coding RNA, 2404 nt
Filed under: Aedes aegypti (yellow fever mosquito)
Lineage: Eukaryota; Metazoa; Arthropoda; Insecta; Diptera; Culicidae
Description: lncRNA AAEL024416
Source: RNAcentral